RNAcentral lists this microRNA precursor (73 nucleotides) under Procavia capensis (Cape rock hyrax). RNAcentral's name for it is "miRNA (ENSPCAG00000019559.1)". Lineage: Eukaryota; Metazoa; Chordata; Mammalia; Hyracoidea; Procaviidae. The record is from RNAcentral.
CUGUGUGUGUGUGUGUGUGUGUGUGUGUGUGUGUGUGUGUGUGCCCUGCUCGCGCACUUGUGUGCAUACACAC